CUGGCCUUGACAUUGAUAGAAUUCUGUAGAGAUACGGAAGUGCCCUUCGGGGAGCUUGAAAACAGGUGCUGCACGGCUGUCGUCAGCUCGUGUCGUGAGAUGUUGGGUUAAGUCCCGCAACGAGCGCAACCCUCGUCUUUAGUUGCCAGCAGUUCGGCUGGGCACUCUAAAGAGACUGCCUUCGCAAGGAGGAGGAAGGUGAGGACGACGUCAAGUCAUCAUGGCCCUUACGGCCAGGGCUACACACGUGCUACAAUGGGGCGUACAGAGAGUUGCGAUACCGCGAGGUGGAGCUAAUCUCAUAAAGCGUCUCUCAGUUCGGAUU
This 325-nucleotide ribosomal RNA is filed under the name uncultured bacterium. RNAcentral describes it as "bacterial SSU rRNA". It matches the Rfam family "Bacterial small subunit ribosomal RNA", at positions 975 to 1299 of the family's 1533-position model. The record is from RNAcentral.